AGUGAACGCUGGCGGUAGGCCUAACACAUGCAAGUCGAACGGCAGCACAGUAAGAGCUUGCUCUUACGGGUGGCGAGUGGCGGACGGGUGAGGAAUACAUCGGAAUCUACUUUUUCGUGGGGGAUAACGUAGGGAAACUGACGCUAAUACCGCAUACGACCUACGGGUGAAAGCAGGAGAUCUUCAGACCUUGCGCGAUUGAAUGAGCCGAAGUCGGAUUAGCUAGUUGGCGGGGUAAGGGCACACCAAGGCGACGAUCCGUAGCUGGUCUGAGAGGAUGAUCAGCCACACUGGAACUGAGACACGGUCCAGACUCCUACGGGAGGCAGCAGUGGGGAAUAUUGGACAAUGGGCGCAAGCCUGAUCCAGCCAUACCGCGUGGGUGAUGAAGGCCUUCGGGUUGUAAAGCCCUUUUGUUGGGAAAGAAAAGCAGCAGGUUAAUAUCCCGCUGUUCUGACGGUACCCAAAGAAUAAGCACCGGCUAACUUCGUG
Molecule: ribosomal RNA, 492 nt
Filed under: uncultured bacterium
Lineage: Bacteria
Description: partial 16S ribosomal RNA
Rfam family: Bacterial small subunit ribosomal RNA
Source: RNAcentral